GACAGAGGUGGCAAGCGUUGUCCGGAAUUACUGGGCGUAAAGCGCGCGUAGGUGGCUAGAUAAGUCCGGUGUGAAAUCCUUCGGCUUAACCGGGGAAUGGCAUCGGGGACUGUUUAGCUAGAGGACGGGAGAGGAGAGCGGAAUUCCCGGUGUAGCGGUGAAAUGCGUAGAGAUCGGGAGGAAGGCCGGUGGCGAAGGCGGCUCUCUGGAACGUCCCUGACGCUGAGGCGCGAAAGCGUGGGGAGCAAACAGG
Molecule: ribosomal RNA, 253 nt
Filed under: Nannocystineae bacterium
Lineage: Bacteria; Pseudomonadati; Myxococcota; Myxococcia; Myxococcales
Also listed under: 1 other name
Description: partial 16S ribosomal RNA
Rfam family: Bacterial small subunit ribosomal RNA
Source: RNAcentral